This is a long non-coding RNA of Coturnix japonica (Japanese quail), 4901 nucleotides long. RefSeq lists it as uncharacterized. NCBI's taxonomy places the organism in Eukaryota, Metazoa, Chordata, Aves, Galliformes, Phasianidae. The record is from RefSeq and is a predicted model, not a curated record.
UGGCAUCCCUCUAAGUGGGUACCAGCAUUCAUGUAUCAACACAGAAGGUUAGACUGAUAGAAAAAAAAAAAAAUCUGCACCAGCGUUGCACAUACAGUAGGUGCUUUUCCACUGGAGCUGUUUCCUUCUAGCAGUCUAGCUGCACGGAUAGACUUGCCAACAUUUGGUGCUAUCCCUGCCUACAGCACCAAGAGUGAAAACAACCCUGCACCCCAGAAAACUGAAAAUAUCUUCAUUGACUUGAAGACGCUGGAAAAUGGAAAGCAAUAUUCUUUGGAGGAUCAUAACCUCAAACAUAAAGCAAUUAAUUCACAGCAGAAUGUAAGCUGGAUCAUUCAAGCCAUUUUCCCCUGAGAGUACUGGAGACCUGGUGUCAGGAUUUGACUACAAGUAGAAAAGUUGUUGUUAUUUUCAUAUGUAUAAAAUGGUUUUCUGGAUUCAUUUCCCAAGCUUCUGAGAAAGUGAGAGGCACAGCCAAAUUCAGCUCAACUGUAAAACAAUGUUGAAUUCAGAUUACACUGCAAUGAUUCUAUCCUGAAAACAGUUGCCCAUUUGAUGUUUUAAAUACAAUUUAAAUUUUUUUCCUGAUAAUGAAUGAGCAAUCCUAUUACUUCUAGCUGAGAACUAUCUGUAAGUUAUUUAUGUUUCUUAUUUUUAUAAAAACCCAUUUUAAUGUUUUAUUUUUCUCAACGAAUUUCUGCUAUUCUACUUGUGCAGAUGUUUAUGAUAAGAUCUAUGGACAUUUUCCAGGAUGCGGCUUUGCCUAACAAUCACAUAAUCAUAGAAUGGUUUGGGUUGGAAGGUACAUUUAGGAUCACCUAAUUCCAACACCCCUGCUAUAGGCAGGGACACCUUCCAUCAGGUUGCUCAAAGCCCCAUCCAGCUUAGCCUUGAAUGCUUCCAGGGAGGGGGUAUCCAAAGCCUCACUAAGCAACCUGUUCCAGUGUUUCACCACCCACACUGUGACAGUGAAGAAUUCCUUCCUGGUAUCUAGUCUAAAUCUACCCUCUUUCAUUUUAAAACCAUUUCCCUUCAUCCUGUCAUUAUAAAAACUCCCUCCCCAAGCCAAAAUCAAUGUAAAGGUAUUCUUUUGCCAUAAGAUGAGGUGAGGUUAUCACAGAUGUAAGUACAAGAUGAAGUAAACUGUAGUUUCAGUAAUUUCCAUCUCUUUGCAUCUCUUCUGUCUCUCUGAGGAGUUGUGUAAGCCUUAUGGUUUGCCAACUUCCUCAGCCACCAGGCAUCAUCAAAAUCAAUGCUUCAUGCAAUAGCCUUGAGCACAUGGUGUUGUUUUUGGAGGUAACUACUCUCCAAAGCCAUCUCACCUUACAUGGUGUUCAAAGGAAAUCAAGCCGUAUCUUUUGGCAGUCCUGAGUUUUUGUUUCUGUCCUUGGGCUGGCUGAGAACUGGUUUGAAUCCCUGAAUACUUUAAAGCAGCCAUGGCCAGAAGGCACCUGAAAGGUUGGCAAAAAGCCCCUCUUUCUGGCCAGGUUCCCCUCUCAAAAAAUGGAGUGUGUCCUGCUGAGCCCAAUUCUUCUUCCAUUUUCCCUCUGCUGUUCUAGUAACCGUAUAAGUUGACUUUCUAUCCGGCUUUUGUGGCCUUACUGUGAUAUGACUCUUUACACUAUUAAGUGCUGGGAAAAGGUCAUACUGGAUAUAGGUUGCUUGCAAAAUGCUAAAACAAUUAUCAUCAGAAACAGUACUGAAUAUGCAAAUAUUUUUUCAAAUUAGGAAUCUUCCCAUCCCCUUCCUUCCUUCAUUUUUCCUCAGUGAUAUGGCUUGGAAAGUCAGCCAGUAUGUACCUGGCCUUAUUUCAUUUUCUUUGUGAUCAUCUUCAAUUAAGCUGCUGUUUCUUCAGUUCAAUUCUAUAUUACUGCAAUGUAAAUGAGAGAGGAAAAUAUGAAUUUUGCGAAGUAUUCAGAGAUGUACAUUCUGAAUAAUGAAUUAUAAUAAGUGCAGGGCUUAUUCUUGUGUUCAAAAGUUUUAUGUGUGGCUCAGAUUGAAAUUUGAAGUAUCCAGAGAGCCAUGCUUGCUUCUGUGUUCUGCCUCUGGGCCUGUAAAGCAUCUCACUAGAUAAAGUCAUCAAGGUAAAAUUCAUCUCAAAAGGGUACAUUGCUAUGAGUUUUGAAGAUAGCCAUGUAGAGAACAUUUGCUUUCUCCAGCAGAUGGUGACUGGAAUAACCUCUCCCUGUAUCUCUAAGCCCUUGAACAGUGUAAAUACCGCCACUGUGACACAGAAUUGGUAAAACGGUCAAGGAAAUAUACUUGGUGUUACAGCCUGGUCUUUGGAGUACUCUGGACCAGAUCAUGGGAGAUGUUCAAAUGUUGUCUGGAUGUGGUCUUGGGCUCUGCAUGGUCCUGACUGAACACUUGGAUAGAAUCAGGAUGAUCUUCAGACCUUCUAGCCUCCAGAGGUCCCUUCCAACUUAAGCAUAAUGUGAUUCAGAGAUCCAAGAGGCCUUCAAGUAAGGGUGCAAAGAAGAGUACAAUCUGUGAGGUUCAGAAUUCUGAGGUGAGGGUUGGAGCAAAUACUUUAGCAGUGCUACACUUUGAUUUCAAUUUUAUGUGUUAUUCAUUCUCUUUGUGGGGCAUAAGUGAACAUCAGUGAGCUUUUUGCAAAGACUCUGCAAAUGCUCCAACUCUCGUGGAAACUAAAAUCUGGAUUAUGAAAAAGAUAUUUACAGUUUAAUCUUGAAACACAAAUUGGCAAAACAUGGAAGUUGUUUUCUUUCAGGAAACUGCUUAUUGUUUUCAGCACAAAACUUCAUGUAUAAGUGUCCUCUAAUGAAAUUUCAAUUUGAAAAUAGGACAGAGAAUGAACUUAAUUUUCAAGGAAUCAAAAAGGAUAGCAAGAUCACAUUCAAUAUAUUGUUUGUGCUUUUUUCUUUUUCUUUUUAUUUUUCCUCAAAAUUAGACAUUUCAAUUGAUGUGGAAAAAAUAACUACUAAAAAAGGAAAGUAUGAAUUUCAGGGCACUGUUCUGAAAUCCUUAAUGCACUCAGGAUAAACCAGAGUUUGAAAAAGCAAAUCUUUUUCAGAUAUAUAUUUAGGCAUAUAUUCUGGAUUUGGAGUUUUCACUAAUCCAUUUCUCUAUCAUUCACUUAUUGUAUCAUAUAAUUAAGAUACCCCAUUCAUGUUAUUGAACUGCCAUCAAUAUAUAUUUAUUCAUUAUCCCCAAAUCUGUCUUUUUCUUUUCUUCAAUAGUCAACAAUUCUCUAAAGUAGCAGUUCUGACUCUCCUAUACCCUCAAUUCCAUUUUGCCAAAUAUAACACAAAAAGAUAGCCUUUGUUAAAAAGUUUAAUGCUCUUAAUUAGUAGAAUUGUCGGACUAAUUAGAAUACCAAUUAGAAUUGGCAGGACUAUCGUUAAUUUAGAAGUGCUGUGGUCUAGUGUUAAUCACUAUUAAACCUUAUAGUUUGUGAAAGAGAGAGAGCAAGGAGAUGAAUGCACACACAUGCAACCUCCCUCCCCUCCCAUUUCAAAUGUUAAGGGUCCAUAAUCAUAAUGAUCUGUGCUGUCAAUGUGUACUUAGGGACUGUUGAAUCCAUGGAGACGUUGAUGCAAAGUUAACAACUGUUUAUGCACAAUAGUAGCAUUUCUGAAUAAGAACUGAACUUUUAUAUGUGUACUGCUACUAAAAUGGCAAAAUCCCAACAGUGGCUGGAAAAGAUACUUGGGUACUCAGGAUUCUUUAUCAGAAACGUGCAAGAGAAAUCCAUUUACUUUCGGUACUGUUAAAAUUGCUUGGAAUAUCGUACAGCACAUGGCAAAUAAAGAUCUUUCAGCACUGUACAAAGUGAAAUCAGGCUUUGGCGCCUACUGGUUCAGUAAGCUCACAGUAGCAUUUCAUAGCCAGAGCUAUCACUCAAAUUCCCACUGUCAGUCAGACGUACAAUGGGAAAUACUCUGAGAGCUCAGCAACUUUCAUUCUCCACAUCUUAUCCACAUGCACAUCUACCCUUCCCAUCGACCUAAUUCUAACUUCUAAGAAAAAAGAAGAGCAAAACAAUUUUAUUCCUCAAUCUCAAAUGAAAAUAAGGAUACUUCUAUUCAAACUGCAUACUUACAACAUCUGUUCCUGGCUGAAACCAUAUGAGAAAUGUUCCCGAAGGUGAAUACUGCAAAUAUUGUUGUGAAGUCCAUGAGCACCACUAUCCUUACACAGAAUCUAAUUUAUAUCCUCAAAUACUCAGAAGAAAAAGAGCGUUAAGGUGUCUAGAGUAGCACACAAUAGUCUGAUGUGAACAAGUCCCAAGCUCAAAAAUUACUUUCCACUUUGUGUUUGUUUUUUUUUUUCCUGGUUAUGCACUGCCUCCUGAAAUCAGUUACUGGUCGUCGAGGCAAAAGUGAUGGCGCUGAUUAUUAUUUACCUGGGGCAGUGGUGGCAAGAGCUAGUAGAGGAUGGACAGAGAGCAUGGUAGAAAAAAGUGAAACUGCUCUCUAUGGAGCAUGUGGAUAUCCUGUUCGUAAUGCCACACAGCAUUAAACAUUUUUCUGUUCCGCUCUAGCCUGAUUUAGCUUAAAUAUUUCUCUGUUUACAACACAGCUUGUCCACAGUUUGAUCAAACACAUCCAAACUCACUCAUGCUGCCUUUUCUAUUGCAGAGAAACCUAUAACUCAGUUUCAGAGAAUUCAGAUGUUUAAAUUGCAACUUGUUUAUGGUCAAGAAACUGUUGCUUUGUUCCCAUGGUACCAUCUUGCACACUAAGGCUUUAUUUAACCUCUGUUUAUGUAAAGCUACAAUAGAAUACGACAAGUAAGUAUGUCUUGGCUCUUGCAAAAAGAAAUUUGAAUCUGUUUUCUAUUAAAAAGAGAGAGACAGAGAGAGUGAUUUAAGAACCAGAUGCAAAAUUAUCCUGUAUUGCUCCUAUCUUGUUACUUCACAAAACUAAAUUUAAUUUUGU